This 494-nucleotide ribosomal RNA is filed under the name uncultured bacterium. RNAcentral describes it as "partial 16S ribosomal RNA". It matches the Rfam family "Bacterial small subunit ribosomal RNA", at positions 28 to 507 of the family's 1533-position model. The record is from RNAcentral.
GACGAACGCUGGCGGCGUGCUUAACACAUGCAAGUCGAACGGAAAGGCCUGCUUUCCCUUGUAGAUUGCGGGUACUCGAGUGGCGAACGGGUGAGUAACACGUGAGUGAUCUGCCCCCAACUUGGGUAUAAGCCUGGGAAACUGGGUCUAAUUCCCGAUAGGACUGCAGGGUGGUGCCUGUGGUGGAACACGAUUUUCUAGUGGUUGGGGAUGAGCUCGCGGCCUAUCAGCUUGUUGGUGGGGUAAUGGCCUACCAAGGCGGCGACGGGUAGCCGGCCUGAGAGGGUGGACGGCCACAUUGGGACUGAGAUACGGCCCAGACUCCUACGGGAGGCAGCAGUGGGGAAUAUUGCACAAUGGGCGGAAGCCUGAUGCAGCGACGCCGCGUGGGGGAUGACGGCCUUCGGGUUGUAAACUCCUUUCGACCGCGAGGAAGCCACCUGGUUGGAAGGGUGGUGACGGUAGUGGUAGAAGAAGCACCGGCUAACUACGUG